RNAcentral lists this ribosomal RNA (433 nucleotides) under uncultured bacterium. RNAcentral's name for it is "partial 16S ribosomal RNA". It matches the Rfam family "Bacterial small subunit ribosomal RNA", at positions 29 to 507 of the family's 1533-position model. The record is from RNAcentral.
AACGAACGCUGGCGGCAUGCCUAACACAUGCAAGUCGAACGAGACCUUCGGGUCUAGUGGCGCACGGGUGCGUAACGCGUGGGAACCUGCCCUUAGGUUCGGAAUAACUCCCCGAAAGGGGUGCUAAUACCGGAUAAUGUCUUCGGACCAAAGAUUUAUCGCCUUUGGAUGGGCCCGCGUUGGAUUAGCUAGUUGGUAGGGUAAAAGCCUACCAAGGCGACGAUCCAUAGCUGGUCUGAGAGGAUGAUCCGCCACACUGGGACUGAGACACGGCCCAGACUCCUACGGGAGGCAGCAGUGGGGAAUAUUGGACAAUGGGCGAAAGCCUGAUCCAGCAAUGCCGCGUGAGUGAUGAAGGCCUUAGGGUUGUAAAGCUCUUUUACCCGGGAUGAUAAUGACAGUACCGGGAGAAUAAGCUCCGGCCAACUCCGUG